GUAACUGACCAGACCUAAUUUUUCGUAUCGAAAUUAAAUUACGCGCUUAACCCAGGCUAAUAGUAUAAGUCCUAAAUAUUCAAAGAGCAAUCUCGAAAUAUUUAAGGCAUCCGUGGGAAUUUUAAAUAAAUCUUCGAAAAGAAUUGUUUUGAAAGUGGUCUAUAGUUCGGCCAGAACAGAUUUUGGUUCAAAGCAGGCGCUUUUAAAACAUUGCUGUGCCCAACAAAAACAUAGCGAAGGAAAAUAAAGAAAAAGACCAGAUCAGGGUCAAGUCAGGGGCAGAAGAACCCGUGGAAAGGGCCGAGCUCC
This is a long non-coding RNA of Drosophila obscura, 309 nucleotides long. RefSeq lists it as uncharacterized. The transcript is spliced from 3 exons. Lineage: Eukaryota; Metazoa; Arthropoda; Insecta; Diptera; Drosophilidae. The record is from RefSeq and is a predicted model, not a curated record.